This 253-nucleotide ribosomal RNA is filed under the name uncultured bacterium. RNAcentral describes it as "partial 16S ribosomal RNA". It matches the Rfam family "Bacterial small subunit ribosomal RNA", at positions 524 to 776 of the family's 1533-position model. The record is from RNAcentral.
GACGUAGGUGGCGAACGUUAUCCGGAAUUAUUGGGCGUAAAGGGUGCGUAGGCGGCUUUUUAAGUCAGGUGUGAAAUCCUGGAGCUCAACUCCAGAACUGCCUUUGAUACUGGGGAUCUUGAGUUCGGGAGAGGUGAGUGGAACUGCGAGUGUAGAGGUGAAAUUCGUAGAUAUUCGCAAGAACACCAGUGGCGAAGGCGGCUCACUGGCCCGAUACUGACGCUGAGGCACGAAAGCGUGGGGAGCAAACAGG